AUAUGGGGGGCCCAUCCUCCAAGGCUAAAUACUCCUGACUGACCGAUAGUGAACCAGUACCGUGAGGGAAAGGCGAAAAGAACCCCGGCGAGGGGAGUGAAAAAGAACCUGAAACCGUGUACGUACAAGCAGUGGGAGCACGCUUAGGCGUGUGACUGCGUACCUUUUGUAUAAUGGGUCAGCGACUUAUAUUCUGUAGCAAGGUUAACCGAAUAGGGGAGCCGAAGGGAAACCGAGUCUUAACUGGGCGUUAAGUUGCAGGGUAUAGACCCGAAACCCGGUGAUCUAGCCAUGGGCAGGUUGAAGGUUGGGUAACACUAACUGGAGGACCGAACCGACUAAUGUUGAAAAAUUAGCGGAUGACUUGUGGCUGGGGGUGAAAGGCCAAUCAAACCGGGAGAUAGCUGGUUCUCCCCGAAAGCUAUUUAGGUAGCGCCUCGUGAAUUCAUCUCCGGGGGUAGAGCACUGUUUCGGCAAGGGGGUCAUCCCGACUUACCAACCCGAUGCAAACUG
RNAcentral lists this ribosomal RNA (513 nucleotides) under Shigella sonnei. RNAcentral describes it as "partial 23S ribosomal RNA". It matches the Rfam family "Bacterial large subunit ribosomal RNA", at positions 442 to 956 of the family's 2925-position model. Lineage: Bacteria; Pseudomonadati; Pseudomonadota; Gammaproteobacteria; Enterobacterales; Enterobacteriaceae. The record is from RNAcentral.